CGGGUGAGUAACGCGUGGAAAACCUGCCGUAUACUGGGGGAUAACACUUAGAAAUAGGUGCUAAUACCGCAUAAGCGCACAGCUUCGCAUGAAGUGGUGUGAAAAACUCUGGUGGUAUACGAUGGUUCCGCGUCUGAUUAGCUUGUUGGUGGGGUAAUGGCUCACCAAGGCGACGAUCAGUAGCCGGCCUGAGAGGGUGAACGGCCACAUUGGGACUGAGACACGGCCCAAACUCCUACGGAAGGCAGCAG
This 251-nucleotide ribosomal RNA is filed under the name uncultured bacterium. RNAcentral's name for it is "partial 16S ribosomal RNA". It matches the Rfam family "Bacterial small subunit ribosomal RNA", at positions 103 to 354 of the family's 1533-position model. The record is from RNAcentral.